AGUGAACGCUGGCGGUAGGCCUAACACAUGCAAGUCGAACGGCAGCACAGUAAGAGCUUGCUCUUACGGGUGGCGAGUGGCGGACGGGUGAGGAAUACAUCGGAAUCUACUUUUUCGUGGGGGAUAACGUAGGGAAACUUACGCUAAUACCGCAUACGACCUACGGGUGAAAGCAGGGGAUCUUCGGACCUUGCGCGAUUGAAUGAGCCGAUGUCGGAUUAGCUAGUUGGCGGGGUAAAGGCCCACCAAGGCGACGAUCCGUAGCUGGUCUGAGAGGAUGGUCAGCCACACUGGAGCGGGGCCGGGGUCCAGAGGCCUACGGGAGGCAGCAGUGGGGAAUAGUGGACAGUGGGGGCGAGCCUGAUCCAGUCGUAGCGCGUGGGAGAAGAAGGCCUUCGGGUUGUAAAGCCGUUUUGUUGGGAGAGAAAAGCAGCAGGUUAAUACCCCGCUGUUCUGACGGUACCCAAAGAAUAAGCACCGGCUAACUUCGUG
RNAcentral lists this ribosomal RNA (492 nucleotides) under uncultured bacterium. RNAcentral's name for it is "partial 16S ribosomal RNA". It matches the Rfam family "Bacterial small subunit ribosomal RNA", at positions 30 to 507 of the family's 1533-position model. The record is from RNAcentral.